GCCGGGGUGCCCGAGCGGUCCAAGGGGACGGGCUUGAGACCCGUUGUCCCAUGCGGGACGCGUGGGUUCAAAUCCCACCCCCGGCG
Caldisphaera lagunensis DSM 15908 is the source of this 86-nucleotide transfer RNA. It matches the Rfam family "tRNA". From Rfam's summary of the family: Transfer RNA (tRNA) molecules are approximately 80 nucleotides in length. Their secondary structure includes four short double-helical elements and three loops (D, anti-codon, and T loops). Lineage: Archaea; Thermoproteati; Thermoproteota; Thermoprotei; Acidilobales; Acidilobaceae. The record is from Rfam.